This 253-nucleotide ribosomal RNA is filed under the name uncultured bacterium. Its description in RNAcentral is "partial 16S ribosomal RNA". It matches the Rfam family "Bacterial small subunit ribosomal RNA", at positions 524 to 776 of the family's 1533-position model. The record is from RNAcentral.
UACGUAGGGCGCAAGCGUUGUCCGGAAUUAUUGGGCGUAAAGAGCUCGUAGGCGGUCUGUCGCGUCGGAUGUGAAAGCCCGGGGCUUAACCCCGGGUCUGCAUUCGAUACGGGCAGACUAGAGUGUGGUAGGGGAGAUCGGAAUUCCUGGUGUAGCGGUGAAAUGCGCAGAUAUCAGGAGGAACACCGGUGGCGAAGGCGGGUCUCUGGGCCGAUACUGACGCUGAGGAGCGAAAGCGUGGGGAGCAAACGGG